Molecule: unclassified non-coding RNA, 351 nt
Filed under: Hevea brasiliensis (rubber tree)
Lineage: Eukaryota; Viridiplantae; Streptophyta; Magnoliopsida; Malpighiales; Euphorbiaceae
Source: RNAcentral
GCAGGAUUUUUUCAAUGGGAAGGAACUAUGCAAGAGCAUCAAUCCAGAUGAGGCUGUUGCAUAUGGUGCUGCUGUCCAAGCUGCCAUCUUGAGCGGUGAGGGAAAUGAGAAGGUGCAGGAUCUUCUUCUAUUGGAUGUCACCCCACUUUCUCUUGGUUUGGAAACCGCGGGUGGAGUGAUGACUGUUUUGAUCCCAAGGAACACCACCAUUCCCACAAAGAAGGAGCAAGUCUUCUCUACCUACUCCGACAACCAGCCCGGUGUGUUGAUCCAAGUAUACGAAGGUGAAAGAACAAGAACCCGCGACAACAACUUGCUUGGGAAAUUCGAACUCUCCGGUAUCCCUCCAGC